This 606-nucleotide ribosomal RNA is filed under the name uncultured Dysgonomonas sp. Its description in RNAcentral is "bacterial SSU rRNA". It matches the Rfam family "Bacterial small subunit ribosomal RNA", at positions 94 to 700 of the family's 1533-position model. The record is from RNAcentral. Lineage: Bacteria; Pseudomonadati; Bacteroidota; Bacteroidia; Bacteroidales; Dysgonomonadaceae.
ACCGGCGCACGGGUGAGUAACGCGUAUGCAACCUGCCUACUACAGGGGGAUAGGCUUCUGAAAGGGAGAUUAAUACCGCAUAAUAUAUAAGAUUCGCAUGGGUUUUAUAUUAAAGAAUUUUGGUAGUAGAUGGGCAUGCGUUUCAUUAGCUAGUUGGUAAGGUAACGGCUUACCAAGGCAACGAUGAAUAGGGGAACUGAGAGGUUUAUCCCCCACACUGGGACUGAGACACGGCCCAGACUCCUACGGGAGGCAGCAGUGAGGAAUAUUGGUCAAUGGGCGAGAGCCUGAACCAGCCAAGUCGCGUGAAGGAUGACUGCCCUAUGGGUUGUAAACUUCUUUUGUACAGGAGUAAAAGAUAUUACGUGUAAUAUUUUGCAAGUACUGUACGAAUAAGCAUCGGCUAACUCCGUGCCAGCAGCCGCGGUAAUACGGAGGAUGCGAGCGUUAUCCGGAUUUAUUGGGUUUAAAGGGUGCGUAGGCCGUAAUUUAAGUCAGUGGUCAAAUUUCCGGGCUCAACCCGGUCCUGCCAUUGAAACUGGAUUACUUGAGUUUAAGCGAGGUAGGCGGAAUUUGUAGUGUAGCGGUGAAAUGCAUAGAUAUUAC